This 494-nucleotide ribosomal RNA is filed under the name uncultured bacterium. RNAcentral describes it as "SSU rRNA". It matches the Rfam family "Bacterial small subunit ribosomal RNA", at positions 26 to 518 of the family's 1533-position model. The record is from RNAcentral.
AGAUUGAACGCUGGCGGCGUGCCUAACACAUGCAAGUCGAGCGGUAACAGGUGUAGCAAUACAUGCUGACGAGCGGCGAACGGGUGAGUAAUGCUUUGGAAUCUUCCCAGUAGUGGGGAAUAACCAGUCGAAAGAUUGGCUAAUACCGCAUACGUCUGUAAAGGGAAAGCGGGGGCUCGUAAGACCUCGCGCUAUUGGAUGAGCCAAAGUCGGAUUAGCUAGUUGGUGGGGUAACGGCCUACCAAGGCGACAAUCCGUAGCUGGUCUGAGAGGACGACCAGCCACACCGGAACUGAGACACGGUCCGGACUCCUACGGGGGCAGCAGUGGGGAAUAUUGGACAAUGGGGGAAACCCUGAUCCAGCGACGCCGCGUGUGUGAAGAAGGCCUGCGGGUUGUAAAGCACUUUUAGUGGGACAAAAGCUACGGAUUAAUACUCUGUGGUCUUGAUUUAACCCAAGAAAAGCACCGGCUAACUCUGUGCCAGCAGCCGC